Etheostoma spectabile (orangethroat darter) is the source of this 113-nucleotide long non-coding RNA. RefSeq lists it as uncharacterized. NCBI's taxonomy places the organism in Eukaryota, Metazoa, Chordata, Actinopteri, Perciformes, Percidae. The record is from RefSeq and is a predicted model, not a curated record. The transcript has 3 exons.
UGACAUGACACUGUCAUGAACACAGAAUUAUUUUGUGCAUUCAUGACUGUUGUCAUUAAGUGUCAUUUGGUAAAUUAUGACACUUUUAAUGCAAAGUUAGCAUUGUCCAAGGU